GUAAGAUAGUUAGUUAGUAAAAAACGAAGUUAAACAUUUUACAAAUCUUUUUAAAGUAGUUGGGGA
RNAcentral lists this non-coding RNA (66 nucleotides) under Streptococcus pyogenes. The record is from RNAcentral. Lineage: Bacteria; Bacillati; Bacillota; Bacilli; Lactobacillales; Streptococcaceae.